Molecule: long non-coding RNA, 1051 nt
Organism: Amphibalanus amphitrite
Lineage: Eukaryota; Metazoa; Arthropoda; Thecostraca; Balanomorpha; Balanidae
Exons: 2
Source: RefSeq, a predicted model, not a curated record
AAUAUGUGGUUGAGUCACUGGCGGAGAGUGCACGCCGCAUCCUGCACGGGCGACUGGUGGACGGCUCAGGGACCAAGGUCAGCGGACUGAACAACACCCAACGCUGCUUCUCCACCCAUUCGGCAGAAAGCAGGGUGGUCAUGAAUCCGACGGCCAUGAGUACGCUCCGGUCAGCCACUCCCCUGCUGACGGCAGCUGCCGCCACACCCUGCGGGCAGGCCGCUCUGGUGCUGUUCGGCGCGGCAGCCGUCAUCGCUUCAGUCGGAUACACUGCCGGGAAAAUCGCCGAACUCAUCAGAGAACACAAACAGAAGGCUCACCAGUACUGAGGGCAUCAGAGAACGCAAACAGAAGGCUCACCAGUACUGAGGGCAUCAGAGAACGCAAACAGAAGGCUCACCGGUACUGAGGGCAUCAGAGAACGCAAACAGAAGGCUCACCAGAAGGGCAUCAGAGAACGCAAACAGAAGGCUCACCAGUACUGAGGGCAUCAGAGAACGGAAACAGAAGGCUCACCAGUUCUGAGGGCAUCAGAGAACGCAACCAGAAGGCUCACCAGUGCUGAGGGCAUCAGAGAACGCAAACAGAAGGCUCACCAGUACUGAGGGCAUCAGAGAACGCAAACAGAAGGCUCACCAGUAUUGAGGACGUCUCUGAGUGUGUGGGGAUCUCGCUGGUACGGGGAGACUUGAGCUUUUAUUUUUCGAAGACUUGAUACCAGUGAAAGAUUGGCACGCUGUGGUAGCAACUAGCAAUGUCUGUAAAGAUUUUCAGAUGUUUCCAUGGCUUGCGUUGUACGCUGACAUGAAAAACAUCUUCAGGCUCGGAUGAUGCUGAGAAUGAGAUUGACUCAGGGCACACUUUUAUAUAAAGAUAAUGCUGAGCAUGAGGUUGAUCUCGAUGGCAAUUCUAUCGUUGUACCAUCGAUAGUACCAUCAUGGCACAUGUACAUUAAUAAAACGCUUUUUAGAUGUACAGUUCUGACUGGCUUAUUUUGAUAAUGACCGGUGGUCGACUCGAAUCAUCAAUAAUUAUUGCAUUAUGUCAUUAA